UAGGGAAUCUUCGGCAAUGGACGAAAGUCUGACCGAGCAACGCCGCGUGAGUGAAGAAGGUUUUCGGAUCGUAAAACUCUGUUGUUAGAGAAGAACAAGGACGUUAGUAACUGAACGUCCCCUGACGGUAUCUAACCAGAAAGCAACGGCUAACUACGUGCCAGCAGCCGCGGUAAUACGUAGGUGGCAAGCGUUGUCCGGAUUUAUUGGGCGUAAAGCGAGCGCAGGCGGUUUCUUAAGUCUGAUGUGAAAGCCCCCGGCUCAACCGGGGAGGGCCAUUGGAAACUGGGAGACUUGAGUGCAGAAGAGGAGAGUGGAAUUCCAUGUGUAGCGGUGAAAUGCGUAGAUAUAUGGAGGAACACCAGUGGCGAAGGCGGCUCUCUGGUCUGUAACUGACGCUGAGGCUCGAAAGCGUGGGGAGCAAACAGG
RNAcentral lists this ribosomal RNA (429 nucleotides) under Gemmatimonadota bacterium. RNAcentral describes it as "Gemmatimonadetes bacterium partial 16S ribosomal RNA". It matches the Rfam family "Bacterial small subunit ribosomal RNA", at positions 355 to 776 of the family's 1533-position model. The record is from RNAcentral. Lineage: Bacteria; Pseudomonadati; Gemmatimonadota.